This is a long non-coding RNA of Canis lupus familiaris (dog), 1006 nucleotides long. RefSeq lists it as uncharacterized. NCBI's taxonomy places the organism in Eukaryota, Metazoa, Chordata, Mammalia, Carnivora, Canidae. The record is from RefSeq and is a predicted model, not a curated record. The transcript is spliced from 3 exons.
CAGAUACUCGUAGACAAAACGAUGCUUGGUUCUGUCCUAACAGCAGUCCAGGAAGUGGAAACCGCCGGAAGCAGCCUGGGGGCAAGUGAGCUUGCACCUGGCUGUGAUGCCUCCCCACCUGGGCUCAAAGCCCCAGUGCGCGGGUGGAUCCCUGGGGCUCCUGCUAGCAGGGAGGAAGAUUCAAAUAAUGAUCUAUGAAGAGACAGAAAUUCGAGUUACGGGGCUGUCACUUGAAGACUCUGCUGCUUGGCUUCUUAGCACGGUGUCGGUUAUUUAGCGGAAAGAACCAGUCUCUGGAUUAUUUCCAGGCCAUCCAGACAGCUAUUUCAACUGGAACAAGUGACCUUUGGAACAGACUAGAACUUAGCAGCCUGGCCAGACAGAGAGGAGGGAGUAGUCAACUGGGAAGGGCCCCAACAUGUUCUUGUGAAAUGCCAUUUGAAGUAAGAGGACAAUAAAAAUUAAGGACAAGUAAAUGAGCUUAAAAAUAUCUAAAACCAAUGAAAACUGUGUGACCACAAUAUGGGAUUCAAGGAAAGAUACAGUAGGAGUCUUUAGCUAUCAUUCUUUAAUACACAUGCUCAACCAAUAUGGUUCUCCACUCCCUUCAGUACAAGGAAUGUCUCUUAAUUAUGUAAUAUUCACCUUUGAAUCUCCAUAGUCUUGGAAAACUCAGUAAUCAUCUGUUUUCCCUCCCUCAUUGGCACCAAAUUUCCUCAGUCUAUGAUUCUACAGUGGUCGUUAGACGCUCUUAGAGAAUGGUCAAGACCUUUAUUUAGCAAGUUAUUGCUGCAGGGAGAUAAAAGUUAAAAUAAUAGUAAAGAGUUCAUGUGAGAGAACAAAGUGAUUAUCUUCUAACAUUGGGUUGGAAGGCAUGCUCUCCUUUUCUUUCACAGAGAGCACAGGAAGUUUUAGCUCAGGUCAUUAGCAAGAAGUAUGCUAAAGAAGCACGCAGCCUUUACUGAAUGCUCAUGGACAGAAUGUUGCGCUUGGCACCCCAGGAUAU